Temnothorax curvispinosus is the source of this 765-nucleotide long non-coding RNA. RefSeq lists it as uncharacterized. Lineage: Eukaryota; Metazoa; Arthropoda; Insecta; Hymenoptera; Formicidae. The transcript has 2 exons. The record is from RefSeq and is a predicted model, not a curated record.
GGCAAAGCUAUCGCAUAAUAAUAAUACCGGUCCAUAGCCUCACUUUUAAUGUGAGUUUAUUAGAUUCAUUAAAGCACAUGGUCUCUGUUGAGGACGAUUAGUUUUCGCGCUUCUCGAACUUUCGCGAUCGGAAUGCUGACACGAGGUCGGCACGAGGCGGGCCGGGAUAGACCAAACCACCCCUCUCUUAUCACCUGUGCUCCUGCUCCGAAUUCUGUCGCAGAUAUCAGCUACCGGCGUGCGAGUGUGUAUCGUCUUCAGAAUAAAUGCGACUUUCAUACAUAACGGUCUGAUUUCUCUGUGCUACCCUAUCUCUCGCAACCGUGCGUUCCCAGAUUAUCGCAACAGUCUCGAUUGUGGAUAAAAACUCAGCUGAAUCUCACUUGCCAUCAUGCAAAAGGAACGUGCAUUUAACUGAGUUAUGACGUCACAAGUGAGAAUUAUCUGAGUUUUGAUCUAGGAUAUGUUCGAAGCAUUUUGCUGAUGAAGCUUUUACGAAGCCCUUACAAGAACAUCUACUAGGUUAUUCACCUACACGAACUAGGAAGAUACAUCCUGAUGCUAUCCCGACGUUGCAUCUCCAUGCAGUACCUCCACUAACAUCAAACGAAAAUGUGUUAGCUGAAACAAUGCCUUUGCCUGUAUCAAAUGAAGUUUCGAUUAAAUAUUUGCAUUUAUUGUUAUUUGAUCUUUUAUCUGCAUCUUUCCUCUGCAUAUAUAGUUCUUUAUGUCGUACGCCACAAUAUAUUUUUGUUUUGCGUCUCA